GACGAACGCUGGCGGCGUGCUUAACACAUGCAAGUCGUGCGGUAAGGCCCUUUCGGGGGUACACGAGCGGCGAACGGGUGAGUAACACGUACGCAACCUGCCCUUCACUUUGGGAUAACUGACGGAAACGGUGGCUAAUAACGGCUAUGACUUCCUCCCGCAUGCGGGGUGGUGGAAAGCCUUCGGGUGGUUGGGGAUGGGCUCGCGGUCUAUCAGCUUGUUGGUGGGGUGAUGGCCUACCAAGGCUUCGACGGGUAGCCGGCCUGAGAGGGUGACCGGCCACACUGGGACUGAGACACGGCCCAGACUCCUACGGGAGGCAGCAGUGGGGAAUAUUGGACAAUGGGCGGAAGCCUGAUCCAGCAACGCCGCGUGAGGGAUGACGGCCUUCGGGUUGUAAACCUCUUUCGCCUGCGACGAAGCGAGAGUGACGGUAGCAGGUAAAGAAGCACCGGCCAACUACGUG
This 466-nucleotide ribosomal RNA is filed under the name uncultured bacterium. Its description in RNAcentral is "partial 16S ribosomal RNA". It matches the Rfam family "Bacterial small subunit ribosomal RNA", at positions 28 to 507 of the family's 1533-position model. The record is from RNAcentral.